UACGGAGGAUCCAAGCGUUAUCCGGAAUUACUGGGCGUAAAGAGUUGCGUAGGUGGCAUAGUAAGCAGGUAGUGAAAGCGUGGGGCUCAACCCUAUACACAUUAUCUGAACUGCUAAGCUAGAGGACAAGAGAGGUUAUUGGAAUUCCUAGUGUAGGAGUGAAAUCCGUAGAUAUUAGGAGGAACACCGAUGGCGUAGGCAGAUAACUGGCUUGUUCCUGACACUAAGGCACGAAAGCGUGGGUAGCAAACGGG
Molecule: ribosomal RNA, 254 nt
Filed under: uncultured bacterium
Lineage: Bacteria
Description: partial 16S ribosomal RNA
Rfam family: Bacterial small subunit ribosomal RNA
Source: RNAcentral